GACGAACGCUGGCGGCGUGCUUAACACAUGCAAGUCGAACGGUAAGGCCCUUCGGGGUACACGAGUGGCGAACGGGCGAGUAACACGUGGGUGAUCUGCCCUGCACUUCGGGAUAAGCCUGGGGAACUGGGUCUAAUACCGGAUAGGACCACUGCCUGCAUGGGUGGGGGUGGAAAGCUUUUGCGGUGUGGGAUGGGCCCGUGGCGUAUCAGCUUGUUGGUGGGGGGGUGGACUACCAAGGCGACGACGGGUAGCCGGCCUGAGAGGGUGACCGGCCACACUGGGACUGAGAUACGGCCCAGACUCCUACGGGAGGCAGCAGUGGGGAAUAUUGCACAAUGGGCGCAAGCCUGAUGCAGCGACGCCGCGUGAGGGAUGACGGCCUUCGGGUUGUAAACCUCUUUCAGCACCGACGAAGCGCAAGUGACGGUAGGUGCAGAAGAAGGACCGGCCAACUACGUGCCAGCCGCCGCCGUAA
This 478-nucleotide ribosomal RNA is filed under the name uncultured bacterium. RNAcentral describes it as "partial 16S ribosomal RNA". It matches the Rfam family "Bacterial small subunit ribosomal RNA", at positions 28 to 523 of the family's 1533-position model. The record is from RNAcentral.